UAAGGUGCAUCUAGUGCAGUUAGUGAACUAGCUUAGACUCUACUGCCCUGAGUGCUCCUUCUGGC
Molecule: microRNA precursor, 65 nt
Filed under: Python bivittatus (Burmese python)
Lineage: Eukaryota; Metazoa; Chordata; Lepidosauria; Squamata; Pythonidae
Description: Pbv-Mir-17-P2c_pre stem-loop
Rfam family: mir-17 microRNA precursor family
About the family: This family represents the microRNA (miRNA) precursor mir-17, family, which includes mir-20, mir-91, and mir-103. miRNAs are transcribed as ~70nt precursors (modelled here) and subsequently processed by the Dicer enzyme to give a ~22nt product. In this case the mature sequence comes from the 3' arm of the precursor. The extents of the hairpin precursors are not generally known and are estimated based on hairpin prediction.
Source: RNAcentral